GAUGAAGAACGUAGCGAAAUGCGAUAAGUAGUGUGAAUUGCAGAAUUCAGUGAAUCAUUGAAUCUUUGAACGCACAUUGCGGCCAUAGGUAUUCCUUUGGCCAUGCCUGUUCGAGCGUCAUUUACACCCUCAAGCCUAGCUUGGUGUUGGGCGCCUGUCCCGCCGUUUUCGCGCGCGGACUCGCCUCAAAGUCAUUGGCGGCGGUCGUGCCGGCCCCCUCGCGCAGCACAUUUGCGCUUCUCGGAGGCCCGGCGGAUCCGCGCUCCAGCAAGACCUUUCACGACUUGACCUCGGAUCAGGUAGGGAUACCCGCUGAACUUAAGCAUAUCAAUAAGCGGAGGA
RNAcentral lists this unclassified non-coding RNA (342 nucleotides) under soil metagenome. Its description in RNAcentral is "partial contains 5.8S ribosomal RNA, internal transcribed spacer 2, and large subunit ribosomal RNA". The stretch from base 1 to 120 matches the Rfam family "5.8S ribosomal RNA", at positions 35 to 154 of the family's 154-position model. The record is from RNAcentral.